AGACCCCAUGUGACCUUUCAGUCACAUGAAUGCUCAGCACCUGCAUUGGAAUCCAUUUGAACACUUGGAAAUAUCUUAGAGUUUAUAGGAACCCUAAUUUGCACUGGUUUUUAAAAAUGUACAAAAAUUAUUGCUUCUAUUUAUAAAAAUCUCAAAUGUCAUAUUUCCAUGCAACCUAGAAGAAGGAGCAGACUUCAUCUCUCCAAGAGAAAGG
Long non-coding RNA from Globicephala melas (long-finned pilot whale), 214 nucleotides. RefSeq lists it as uncharacterized. The record is from RefSeq and is a predicted model, not a curated record. NCBI's taxonomy places the organism in Eukaryota, Metazoa, Chordata, Mammalia, Artiodactyla, Delphinidae.